RNAcentral lists this ribosomal RNA (497 nucleotides) under uncultured bacterium. RNAcentral's name for it is "partial 16S ribosomal RNA". It matches the Rfam family "Bacterial small subunit ribosomal RNA", at positions 28 to 507 of the family's 1533-position model. The record is from RNAcentral.
GAUGAACGCUGGCGGCGUGCCUAACACAUGCAAGUCGAGCGAACAGACCUGGAUCUCGUUCUUCUGUCGUUAUCCGCGGACGGGUGAGUAACACGUGGAUCACCUACCUUUUACACUGGGAUUACUUCUGGAAACCGGAGCCAAUACCUGAUUAUCUAUUGAACUGCAUGGUGCAAUCUUUAAUGGCAGUUUUUCUUUUACUUAUAGAUGAUUCCGCGCCGCAUUAUCUGCUUGUUAAGGGAACGGCUUACCAAGGCAACGACGCGUAGCCGCCCUGCGAGGGUGAUCGGAGACACUGGAACUGAGACACGGUCCAGACUCAUACGGGAGGCAGCAGUAGGGAAUGUUACGCAAUGGGAGAAAGCCGGACGGAGAAACACCGCGUGAGUGAUGAAGGUCUUGGGAUCGUAAAAGUAUGUUAUUAGGGAAGAACAGAAGGGUAAGUAGCUAGACACGUCGUGACGGUACCUAAAGAAGAAGCAACGGCUAACUACGUG